CAACCCUAGCGAUGGCCGCCACCCUCUCUCCCUUCUCUUCCCGACCUCGCCGCCACCGGAGCGGACCGCCGGACGAGCGCGCGGGGCGCUCGCUCUCGGUGCGGCUCCCCGUUGGAUGAUGGCCGGCGGCUCGGGUUUGGCGCGCGAGCGGCGCGUCGCGUGGAGGCCGGCGGCGCGUGCUGUGGCGGGGCGCCAAGGGACAGCGGCGGCGGCGCACGGAGGGACAUUAGCGACGGCGCAUCUGUGGCGGCACGGAGAGAACGCGGAGGGGUGCCGGUGCCUCUUGUAAUUCAUUGUCAAUUCUGGUAAGCUUGCAUCGGCACAAUUCCAGGUUUGAUUUAUAGAAAAAUCCGACCUCAUUCAUUCGAUCUAUAUUAAUUCGUUCCCAAUUUAAUUUGGUGAGUGCUGAUUGAAACGGAGAUUCCCAGUCCAUCAUUUCUAUGAAAGCAUACUUUUUGUAAAUAGACUAGCAAUUGUGAUUUAAUGACAGGCCAAAGCAAAACAUGUCCAUCAUGAUAUUAGGCUGGACAAAAGCAAGUAUACUAAAUUACUAAUGCAGCCAAGGUGAUCAAUUCCAUUUAUUUAUUCUAUGAAAAUUUAUAGAACUAUUGGGCAAAGUGCAUAUGUAAAGUAGCAUAAAUAACAGGGUGCGGAUCAACAAUCAUCUUCCUAUUCCUAUGUUACAAAUCAUGGAGAUUCACUUCACCGGGUAAAGAUUCUUCAUGCUACAUACAUAUUUUCAGAUUAUUAAGUAACCUGUUUUGACUUCUAAUUUGGUCCAGAACAAGAUGGUGGUCAUUGAUUUUUGUUAGAAUCAUUUAUGGUCCUGAUCCGGGCGAUUAAUAGAAACUGUGGUCAUGUAUUAUGCAAUUCAUCCGCUAGUUUAUUUUAGUAAGUUAGAGAUAAAUGCCUCACAUGAUGUGUUAGAAAUUAGCUCUCUGCGGCGACGAGCCGCACGCUAAUCCCCACGCAGCGGAACGACGAUUGAAUCUACCGAGACGAACUUGCAAGACCAUAGACGACACCGGAGGCACGAUCUUUGUUGACGAGGUUCGGCCAAAGCCUACAUCCCUGGGGCAUGACUACGGGCGCUCCUCCCCAAUUCUGGUCCCGACAGCAUCGUGCCGCCUCCCUCCUGCGAGCCUGUCGCCAUGGUUACAACAGCAGCCCUCCUCUCAUAUUUAUGAGGAGGUCCGGGUUACAGAGUUUGACACGAACUCUACCCUAUACUGCUGAAUACAACUCAAGUCCCAUCGUAACCGGACUCGUACAAAUAUUCGACACAUAUUCAACAUGAUGGGGAUAUUUCGCAAGCAGUAUAAUUGUAUUGUGCGCAUAUUUAUUCACAUGUUCAUAUAUGUACUAGGUUGGCACUAAAGUAUUCUUAAAGAGCUGGAAAAAUCAAAAUAAGGAUGUUGCUUUGGCUACAAUAGUAAGUUGUGAUCCAACACAGAAAAUUGAAGGUAUCCAGCUAGGCAAAGAAUUUUGGAUGGUGCGUGUCGGUAUUUCAUUUGCUGAUAAUGAACCACUGAUACGCCCAUACAAAAGUUACAGUGUCAUGGGAGAAGUUCAAGGAGUUAAUAUUGCCUGGCCUUGAACUUUUGUGGAGAAGAUAAAUGCAUGACUUCAUCUGUAGGCCUACAGCUUGGAGAAAUAGAGGGCUGGUGGAAUUCUUAGAGGACUCAUAUGUGUCUUUUUAAUUUAUUUUCGUACGGUGAUCUAUUUCUGUAAGAAACUAUAUCAUGAAUUACGUGGACGGUACUCAUUGUAUUGCAGCAGAACCUUUUUUAAUGAAUGACAAUUGACAGUGAGCUUAUUUCCCA
Molecule: long non-coding RNA, 1823 nt
Organism: Panicum virgatum (switchgrass)
Lineage: Eukaryota; Viridiplantae; Streptophyta; Magnoliopsida; Poales; Poaceae
Exons: 2
Source: RefSeq, a predicted model, not a curated record